CAACCAGACUCCUACGGGAGGCAGCAGUGGGGAAUAUUGCACAAUGGGGGGAACCCUGAUGCAGCGACGCCGCGUGGGUGAAGGAGCACCUCGGUGCGUAAAGCCCUAUCGGCAGGGAAGAAACAGACGGUACCUGACUAAGAAGCCCCGGCUAACUACGUGCCAGCAGCCGCGGUAAUACGUAGGGGGCAAGCGUUAUCCGGAUUUACUGGGUGUAAAGGGAGCGUAGGCGGCGAUGCAAGUCAGAAGUGAAAGCCCGGGGCUCAACUCCGGGACUGCUUUUGAAACUGUGUUGCUAGAUUGCAGGAGAGGUAAGUGGAAUUCCUAGUGUAGCGGUGAAAUGCGUAGAUAUUAGGAGGAACACCAGUGGCGAAGGCGGCCUGCUGGACGACAACUGACGGUGAGGCGCGAAAGCGUGGGGAGCAAACAGGAUUAGAUACCCUGGUACU
This 449-nucleotide ribosomal RNA is filed under the name uncultured bacterium. RNAcentral's name for it is "bacterial SSU rRNA". It matches the Rfam family "Bacterial small subunit ribosomal RNA", at positions 328 to 794 of the family's 1533-position model. The record is from RNAcentral.